Molecule: ribosomal RNA, 465 nt
Filed under: Vreelandella stevensii
Lineage: Bacteria; Pseudomonadati; Pseudomonadota; Gammaproteobacteria; Oceanospirillales; Halomonadaceae
Description: partial 16S ribosomal RNA
Rfam family: Bacterial small subunit ribosomal RNA
Source: RNAcentral
CCUACGGGGGUCAGCAGUGGGGAAUAUUGGACAAUGGGCGAAAGCCUGAUCCAGCCAUGCCGCGUGUGUGAAGAAGGCCUUCGGGUUGUAAAGCACUUUCAGUGGGGAAGAAAGCCUUGGGGCUAAUACCCUCGAGGAAGGACAUCACCCACAGAAGAAGCACCGGAUAACUCCGUGCCAGCAGCCGCGGUAAUACGGAGGGUGCGAGCGUUAAUCGGAAUUACUGGGCGUAAAGCGCGCGUAGGCGGUCUGAUAAGCCGGUUGUGAAAGCCCCGGGCUCAACCUGGGAACGGCAUCCGGAACUGUCAGGCUAGAGUGCAGGAGAGGAAGGUAGAAUUCCCGGUGUAGCGGUGAAAUGCGUAGAGAUCGGGAGGAAUACCAGUGGCGAAGGCGGCCUUCUGGACUGACACUGACGCUGAGGUGCGAAAGCGUGGGUAGCAAACAGGAUUAGAUACCCGAGUAGUC